Molecule: ribosomal RNA, 427 nt
Filed under: uncultured bacterium
Lineage: Bacteria
Description: partial 16S ribosomal RNA
Rfam family: Bacterial small subunit ribosomal RNA
Source: RNAcentral
UGGGGAAUAUUGGACAAUGGGCGAAAGCCUGAUCCAGCCAUGCCGCGUGUGUGAAGAAGGUCUUCGGAUUGUAAAGCACUUUAAGUUGGGAGGAAGGGCAUUAACCUAAUACGUUAGUGUUUUGACGUUACCGACAGAAUAAGCACCGGCUAACUCUGUGCCAGCAGCCGCGGUAAUACAGAGGGUGCAAGCGUUAAUCGGAAUUACUGGGCGUAAAGCGCGCGUAGGUGGUUUGUUAAGUUGGAUGUGAAAUCCCCGGGCGCAACCUGGGAACUGCAUUCAAAACUGACUGACUAGAGUAUGGUAGAGGGUGGUGGAAUUUCCUGUGGAGCGGUGAAAUGCGUAGAUAUAGGAAGGAACACCAGUGGCGAAGGCGACCACCUGGACUAAUACUGACACUGAGGUGCGAAAGCGUGGGGAGCAAACA